This 253-nucleotide ribosomal RNA is filed under the name uncultured bacterium. RNAcentral describes it as "partial 16S ribosomal RNA". It matches the Rfam family "Bacterial small subunit ribosomal RNA", at positions 524 to 776 of the family's 1533-position model. The record is from RNAcentral.
UACGUAGGGUGCAAGCGUUGUCCGGAAUUAUUGGGCGUAAAGAGCUCGUAGGCGGUUUGUCGCGUCGGCUGUGAAAACCCGAGGCUCAACCUCGGGCCUGCAGUCGAUACGGGCAAACUAGAGUACUGCAGGGGAGACUGGAAUUCCUGGUGUAGCGGUGAAAUGCGCAGAUAUCAGGAGGAACACCGGUGGCGAAGGCGGGUCUCUGGGCAGUAACUGACGCUGAGGAGCGAAAGCGUGGGGAGCGAACAGG